GGGUGGCGAGUGGCGAACGGGUGAGUAACGCGUAGGAAUAUACCUUAAAGAGAGGGACAACUUGGGGAAACUCAAGCUAAUACCGCAUAAACUCUGAGGAGAAAAGCUGGGGACCGCAAGGCCUGGCGCUUUAAGAUUAGCCUGCGUCCGAUUAGCUAGUUGGUGGGGUAAAGGCCUACCAAGGCGACGAUCGGUAGCUGGUCUGAGAGGAUGAUCAGCCACACUGGGACUGAGACACGGCCCAGACUCC
RNAcentral lists this ribosomal RNA (250 nucleotides) under uncultured bacterium. RNAcentral describes it as "partial 16S ribosomal RNA". It matches the Rfam family "Bacterial small subunit ribosomal RNA", at positions 86 to 339 of the family's 1533-position model. The record is from RNAcentral.